RNAcentral lists this ribosomal RNA (460 nucleotides) under uncultured bacterium. Its description in RNAcentral is "bacterial SSU rRNA". It matches the Rfam family "Bacterial small subunit ribosomal RNA", at positions 446 to 909 of the family's 1533-position model. The record is from RNAcentral.
CGAAUGGUACAUUUGAUGUACUGAGACGGUACCCUCAAAGGAAGGAUCGGCUAACUACGUGCCAGCAGCCGCGGUAAUACGUAGGAUCCGAGCGUUGUCCGGAAUUACUGGGUGUAAAGGGUGCGUAGGCGGACUUGUGCGUCAGAGGUGAAAUCCACGGGCUUAACCCGUGGGGUGCCUUUGAUACGGCAAGUCUUGAGUGCGAGAGAGGUGGGUGGAAUUCCUGGUGUAGCAGUGAAAUGCGUAGAUAUCAGGAGGAACACCGAUGGCGAAGGCAGCCCACCGGCUCGCAACUGACGCUGAGGCACGAAAGCGUGGGGAUCAAACAGGAUUAGAUACCCUGGUAGUCCACGCCUUAAACGAUGUAUGCUUGGUGUUGGGUCGCAAGACUCAGUGCCGGAGGAAACCUAUUAAGCAUACCACCUGGGGAGUACGAUCGCAAGGUUGAAACUCAAAGGAA